RNAcentral lists this ribosomal RNA (426 nucleotides) under uncultured Actinomycetes bacterium. Its description in RNAcentral is "bacterial SSU rRNA". It matches the Rfam family "Bacterial small subunit ribosomal RNA", at positions 233 to 671 of the family's 1533-position model. Lineage: Bacteria; Bacillati; Actinomycetota; Actinomycetes. The record is from RNAcentral.
GCGGCCUAUCAGCUUGUUGGUGAGGUAAUGGCUCACCAAGGCGACGACGGGUAGCCGGCCUGAGAGGGCGACCGGCCACACUGGGACUGAGACACGGCCCAGACUCCUACGGGAGGCAGCAGUGGGGAAUAUUGGGCAAUGGAGGAAACUCUGACCCAGCGACGCCGCGUGAGGGAUGAAGGCCUUCGGGUUGUAAACCUCUUUCAGUAGGGAAGAAGCGAGAGUGACGGUACCUACAGAAGAAGCACCGGCUAACUAUGUGCCAGCAGCCGCGGUAAUACAUUGGGUGCAAGCGUUGUCCGGAAUUAUUGGGCGUAAAGAGCUCGUAGGUGGUUCGAUACGUCGGAUGUGAAAAUCAGGGGCUCAACCCCUGACCUGCAUCCGAUACGGUCGAGCUAGAGUCUGGUAGGGGAGACUGGAAUUCCU